Molecule: ribosomal RNA, 958 nt
Filed under: bacterium enrichment culture clone aHCH4_F9
Lineage: Bacteria
Description: bacterial SSU rRNA
Rfam family: Bacterial small subunit ribosomal RNA
Source: RNAcentral
AAUACAUGCAGUCGAGCGAAGUGGAGGAAGCUUGCUUCCAAAGCUUAGCGGCGGACGGGUGAGUAACACGUGGGCAAUCUGGCUGUAGGACAGGGAUAACCCCGGGAAACCGGAGCUAAUACCGGAUAGAGGUAAAGAUCGCAUGAGCUUUACCGGAAAGAUGGCGCAAGCUAUCACCUGCAGAUGAGCCCGCGGCGCAUUAGCCAGUUGGUGGGGUAACGGCUCACCAAGGCGACGAUGCGUAGCCGACCUGAGAGGGUGAUCGGCCACACUGGACUGAGACACGGCCCAGACUCCUACGGGAGGCAGCAGUAGGGAAUCUUCCGCAAUGGACGAAAGUCUGACGGAGCAACGCCGCGUGAGUGAUGAAGGUUUUCGGAUUGUAAAACUCUGUCAUUAGGGAAGAACGGCUGAUGUUUGAAUAAGGCAUCAGAGUGACGGUACCUAAAGAGGAAGCCCCGGCUAACUACGUGCCAGCAGCCGCGGUAAUACGUAGGGGGCAAGCGUUGUCCGGAAUUAUUGGGCGUAAAGCGCGCGCAGGCGGUUCUUUAAGUUUGAUGUGAAAGCCCACGGCUCAACCGUGGAGGGUCAUUGGAAACUGGAGGACUUGAGUGCAGGAGAGGAAAGUGGAAUUCCACGUGUAGCGGUGAAAUGCGUAGAGAUGUGGAGGAACACCAGUGGCGAAGGCGACUUUCUGGCCUGUAACUGACGCUGAGGCGCGAAAGCGUGGGGAGCAAACAGGAUUAGAUACCCUGGUAGUCCACGCCGUAAACGAUGAGUGCUAGGUGUUAGGGGUGACCAAACCCUUAGUGCCGCAGUUAACACAUUAAGCACUCCGCCUGGGGAGUACGACCGCAAGGUUGAAACUCAAAGGAAUUGACGGGGGCCCGCACAAGCAGUGGAGCAUGUGGUUUAAUUCGAAGCAACGCGAAAAACCUUACCAGGACUUGCCAUCCCU